CACGGCGAGGCAAGGAGAUGGGCCUCGGGGCCGCAGGGCCUCGUGACCCACUUACAACCCCCCCGAGACUGAUCGGCAUCGGCCUGCCAGUUACAGUUAUGUAACUGAUGCUGGGAAAAGCAAGGAGAAGAAUUACAAGAGUAAAAAAAAAGAAAGGAGUCCAAUGUCUACCAGUGAAGAGGGCCCACGGCUCAACAACGUCCUCAAUGUUUCUAUUUUCAACAAAAGAGGGGCUCGUCAGAGAGGAUCAUCCCAUCAGAUGGGAUCUGGGCGGGAUGUCGGAUGCUCACACUAAUACCACGAUUCUGCUGCUGUUACACGGUUUAUGAAUCAGCCCCCACUGAGAGACACCUACGCCCAUCACUGCGGGCAAGCACCAUCCCCACCGCGGCUUUCCCCCUCAUCACUCCGCUCCGCUUCUCGAGCUGUGAUCUGAUUGGCUGUUGGAGGGGUGAGGCUCACUGCAGAGGCAAGAACAGCGGGUGCAGGGUGGGGUGGGCUUCCCCCUCUAGGCACGACUCACACACACAUAACCAACCACCCACCUACACACACACACACACACACGCAGGGAAUCCCUCCUCACUGUUUGCCGCAUGUCUCGUUUUCCAUUACACGCCGCCAUCGAAUCGUUCACCGCAUAAUCACGUUGGGAAGCAGUGCGCACCAAAUGUGAUUGAGUGGUUUUGGUAAUCUGAGGUUUCUUUUUUCUUCUAAGGUUUACCAGAUUUCACCUUUUGUCAGGAGGAGUUUGAGCGUGACUCCCAGCGCUGUGUUAUUUAUAGGGGGGGUCUGGGGUCCAGAGCUGAUGGUUAUGCACGGCUCUGCCAUCACAGGGUAAGACGACACACACCGGGAGGCAGCUGUCGAGCUAAGCUUGGGUUUCACUGAUGUGUGAGAUUGGCGGUGUUUGUUUGUGACAGCAGCGAAGUUGGCAUGAGGGAGCCCCCAGUGGAUUGGGAGAGGGACGUAUUUCCAGUUCUGUGUUGUGAGGGUGUGUUUGUGUGUUGUGAAUGUUAGUAUGCGUGCGUCAGAGGGAGGAACACAGACACUGAAAGGGCACAGCGACCUUUUGUAUACUGUUAAAAUGUAUAAACAUUCUCAAUGUGAAUGUGGGAUAUUUAUACUGGUACGGACGGGUUAAUGUUUUAGGAACGAAAGGAUGCCACACAACUGUGGGUUUCUACAGUGCCAUUAUUUCAGACAAAGCUACUGAUGUAGCUAGAGAGAGUAUGUCGUGUGACAUAAAAGAUACAUCUCAUGCAAAAAGCAAAUUUAUCAAAUUAAAUGUUAAUGCGUUGUAAAAAAAAAGAAUAUAACACAACAUUAAUGUGGAUUUGUGCAUUUUGCCUUUUGGAAAGCCC
Long non-coding RNA from Gasterosteus aculeatus aculeatus (three-spined stickleback), 1364 nucleotides. The record is from Ensembl. NCBI's taxonomy places the organism in Eukaryota, Metazoa, Chordata, Actinopteri, Perciformes, Gasterosteidae.